This 22-nucleotide microRNA is filed under the name Drosophila virilis. RNAcentral describes it as "dvi-miR-9544c-5p". Lineage: Eukaryota; Metazoa; Arthropoda; Insecta; Diptera; Drosophilidae. The record is from miRBase by way of RNAcentral.
UUUGCACAGCGGUCUUUUUAAU